UCGAGGGGCAGCAUCGCGAUAGCUUGCUAUUGCGGAUGGCGACCGGCGCACGGGUGAGUAACACGUAUCCAACCUGCCGUCUACUCUUGGACAGCCUUCUGAAAGAAAGAUUAAUACCCGAUGGUAUAACAUGACCUCCUGGUUUUGUUAUUAAAGAAUUUCGGUAGAGGAUGGGGAUGCGUUCCAUUAGAUAGUAGGCGGGGUAACGGCCCACCUAGUCAACGAUGGAUAGGGGUUCUGAGAGGAAGGUCCCCACAUUGGAACUGAGACACGGUCCAAACUCC
RNAcentral lists this ribosomal RNA (284 nucleotides) under uncultured Bacteroides sp. Its description in RNAcentral is "partial 16S ribosomal RNA". It matches the Rfam family "Bacterial small subunit ribosomal RNA", at positions 62 to 339 of the family's 1533-position model. The record is from RNAcentral. Lineage: Bacteria; Pseudomonadati; Bacteroidota; Bacteroidia; Bacteroidales; Bacteroidaceae.